CAGGGGGUUGGACGGGAUGAUCUCCAGAGGUCCCUUCCAACCCUUACUAUUCUGUGAUUCUGCGUGAUCGUGACUAUCGACCUGCUUUGAGACGUCAAGAAAUGCCUUCAGUGUGUCAUUUUUGUCUACAGGAACAGAUGGAAGGGCUGGAAAGGUUACCUCCUCCCGCUGCUCGGUGCUGUCCCUCAGCUGGAAAUAACCAUCCCUGGAGAUGAGCCGGGAGGGGGAAAGGGGAAAGAACAUCCCCGGGGUCUGAUCUUAGGCCAGAAUUGGAACUGGAACUUUGAAAACAAAGCUUUUUUUUCCCCCUGAAAUGGGCUGCAGGAGGCUGCCUGCCCCAUGGCUGGAGGCAGCUAUGACCAUGGAAGGCUAGCAUGAUUUCAGAGUGGUGGUGUCUUCAGGCUUCCUUUUCGAUUUCUGCAAGAAUGCAGGCUGUUCCCUGCCCAUCUCGUGCAUCCUGCUGUGCACCCCAGUGAGAGCCCCACUUAGGAGGAACAGUGCUAAGAUCCAGUGCUGGAUCUCUUGUUCCCACCAGUGUCCAUCAACCAACUGGGCUGCUGCUGGGGAGGCACAGCUCCACCUUCUUUGCUCCUGAGCACCUUCUGCUGCUGGCUCUGCUUCUCUACCUGCUGUUUGUAGUGAGGACUCAUCACAGAGCAUCGCUGAGAGACGAGACGUGCUGCUGCUGCUGCUCUCCCCCUUGCUGUUUUGGAGCGUGGAGUCUGGUUGGCCAGGUCCAAGAAGGGCUGGGAAGAUGGACUGUACUGUUUGAAAGCUGCCCAGACCUCAUCUGCUCCCUUGAAACCAAUAUGAGGCAAGACCAGCGAUUGCAGCCAGUUGCAACAUCUCGUCUUGCUGGAUGGAGGCACAUCGUGUCACCAGUGGUGCUGCUGGUGAAACCUCCGUGAAGGAAGGAAACCCGCUGAGACCUGGCUGCCUGGGGGCUGUUAACCCAUCGGAGCACAAACACGUUAAGUGGGUGUAACUGCAAACACCAUCUCUGCCUCCUGUGCCCACAGAAGUGCCUGGGCAGCGAUGCCAGCGCGGGAUCCUGCUGAGCAGAAGGAGAAGGCUCAGGUGUGGGGCUGAGCAUCUGGGGCUGGCGCAGCCCACGGCAGCGAGCGGGGAAACAAGAGAGGUGGGAGCUGGUCAUUAAAUCUGCUGCUGGGCAGGUGCCCUGACGUUCAGCUUUCCAGGCAGUGGAGAUGAGAGAGCCACAGAAGCUGCUGCAGAUUAACGAGGGAGGAUUAGCACAGCCCUUGCCUCUUUGGGAGGCUUUGGUGAGCUUAUAUGUGGUUCCGGAGCUGGUGCGUGUCACCAGAGGGUGAGUC
Long non-coding RNA from Calidris pugnax (ruff), 1331 nucleotides. RefSeq lists it as uncharacterized. NCBI's taxonomy places the organism in Eukaryota, Metazoa, Chordata, Aves, Charadriiformes, Scolopacidae. The transcript has 7 exons. The record is from RefSeq and is a predicted model, not a curated record.